This is a long non-coding RNA of Papaver somniferum (opium poppy), 475 nucleotides long. RefSeq lists it as uncharacterized. The transcript has 2 exons. Lineage: Eukaryota; Viridiplantae; Streptophyta; Magnoliopsida; Ranunculales; Papaveraceae. The record is from RefSeq and is a predicted model, not a curated record.
UGUGUCUCCUUUUAUAUCUUCUCUAUUCUGUGUCUUCUUUUCUUUUACAGUAUCUUCUCUAUUCUGUGUCUCUUUUUAUAAAAUUUCUCUCUUUUCUUAUCAUGCACGUCGUUCUGCCACCUAGCCGUAUAACUAUUAUUUUGGAUGUUAAUCAAACACCUCAAACAUGAUUAAAAAUGUGGAAGAGAUUUGUACGUGGGAUGACUUUUGAAAUUCCCAGAACAACAUCUGCACGUUUUUAUCCAAAGAACAUGGGCUACAGAUACCGUACUAUGGCUGGUUGGACGUGGUUUCCAACCACCACCACGACUCAUUGGUAGAUUUGUUUUGUAUGUCUCUUAUGUUUGUUCGUUCUUUUACAAUUAUUUUCCAAGUUACAGGUUUCUUUUUCUAUUUUUUUUUGGUUAGUUACUCGUUGUAAUCAUAUGUUUGGUUAAGUUAUUUACUUAUAUAUGGGUGAUCAAUUUUGAUUUCC